UCCUCCCUCUGGCGGCGUGCUUAACACAUGCAAGUCGAACGGAAAGGCCUUGCUUUUGUGGGGUGCUCGAGUGGCGAACGGGUGAGUAACACGUGAGUAACCUGCCCUUGACUUUGGGAUAACUUCAGGAAACUGGGGCUAAUACCGGAUAGGAGCUCCUGCUGCAUGGUGGGGGUUGGAAAGUUUCGGCGGUUGGGGAUGGACUCGCGGCUUAUCAGCUUGUUGGUGGGGUAGUGGCUUACCAAGGCUUUGACGGGUAGCCGGCCUGAGAGGGUGACCGGCCACAUUGGGACUGAGAUACGGCCAAGACUCCUACGGGAGGCAGCAGUGGGGAAUAUUGCACAAUGGGCGGAAGCCUGAUGCAGCAACGCCGCGUGCGGGAUGACGGCCUUCGGGUUGUAAACCGCUUUCGCCUGUGACGAAGCGUGAGUGACGGUAAUGGGUAAAGAAGCACCGGCUAACUACGUG
This 468-nucleotide ribosomal RNA is filed under the name uncultured bacterium. RNAcentral describes it as "partial 16S ribosomal RNA". It matches the Rfam family "Bacterial small subunit ribosomal RNA", at positions 36 to 507 of the family's 1533-position model. The record is from RNAcentral.